CCAGAGGGCCGGGCGGCCGCCGGUGGAUCUUCGGAUCUGCGGGAGGAAAGUCCGGGCUCCAGCGAGGAACGGUGCCGGGUAAUGCCCGGCGGGGGUGACCCCAGGGACAGUGCCACAGAAAGCAAACCGCCGUUGCUUCGGCGCGGUCAGGUCGAAAGGGUGCGGUAAGAGCGCACCGCGCGUCUGGUAACAGAGGCGGCACGGCAAACCCCACCGGGAGCAAGACCGAAUAGGGACGGCAUAUGGGAUUCCUCCUUCCCGUCGUCCGGGUUGGUUGCUUGAGCGUGCUGGUAACAGUACGCCUAGAGGAAUGGUCGCCCAUCACGCUUUGGCGUGUGGACAGAACCCGGCUUACAGGCCCUCUGGCUAU
RNAcentral lists this RNase P RNA (370 nucleotides) under Sphingomonadaceae bacterium. RNAcentral describes it as "RNase P RNA component class A". It matches the Rfam family "Bacterial RNase P class A". Rfam says of the family: Ribonuclease P (RNase P) is a ubiquitous endoribonuclease, found in archaea, bacteria and eukarya as well as chloroplasts and mitochondria. Its best characterised activity is the generation of mature 5'-ends of tRNAs by cleaving the 5'-leader elements of precursor-tRNAs. The record is from RNAcentral. Lineage: Bacteria; Pseudomonadati; Pseudomonadota; Alphaproteobacteria; Sphingomonadales; Sphingomonadaceae.